CACGUAGGGCGCGAGCGUUGUCCGGAAUUAUUGGGCGUAAAGAGCUCGUAGGCGGCCUGUUGCGUCCGCUGUGAAAGCCCGGGGCUUAACCCCGGGUCGCAGUGGAUACGGGCAGGCUAGGGGUGAGGUAGGGGAGAAUGGAAUUCCCGGUGUAGCGGUGAAAUGCGCAGAUAUCGGGAGGAACACCGGUGGCGAAGGCGGUUCUCUGGGCCUUACCUGACGCUGAGGAGCGAAAGCGUGGGGAGCGAACAGG
This 253-nucleotide ribosomal RNA is filed under the name uncultured bacterium. RNAcentral's name for it is "partial 16S ribosomal RNA". It matches the Rfam family "Bacterial small subunit ribosomal RNA", at positions 524 to 776 of the family's 1533-position model. The record is from RNAcentral.